This is a long non-coding RNA of Equus caballus (horse), 2227 nucleotides long. Lineage: Eukaryota; Metazoa; Chordata; Mammalia; Perissodactyla; Equidae. The record is from Ensembl.
GGAGGAACUCAAGUAUAACUCACUUGGUUCCCCCUCAGGGAUGGAAGAUCAGGGAGAAGGCUUUCUGCACACUUGCUCGAAUGUUCAUCCUCGUGUGGGUAAAGAAGCAAGCUGUGUGUCAGUUCACCACACUGUGGGUGUCAGAAGCUCUGCUCAGGAAACGCAGUCGUGGAACUGACAGCCCGGGUGACGGUGGCUUCCUGGGCCCCCGGGCCUCUUGGGUCCCGAGAUGUCCGUCAUCCUGCCUGCUUAGGAGGAGAGGGCAUGUAGCUGGAAGCGGACAUGGAGAGAGACCUCCAGAAGUCAGGCAACCUUUCAUCCCAGUUCUGACGCCAGGAAGCUGAGUCUAAAAAGUUCCUUAAAAGGAAAAGGCCUGUAAGGGGAGUAAAGAGAUAUGUGGAAUGUUGACUGCUCCGAAAGAAAUCUCUGUCAGAUGAGAAGGGGAAAGGAAAGCGGCCAACCAGGUCGAAGGGCGUGAGUUUUCAGUCGAUUAUUCAUCAUGACUGGAGGAUGACUUGACCAGACUGUCUAUUCCACAGGAAGACUCGCCCUGAGCUCACAUCCGUGCCCAUCUUCCUCUACUUUAUACGUGGGAUGCCUACCACAGCAUGGCUUGCCAAGCAGUGCCGUGUCCGCACCCGGGAUCCGAACUGGCGAACCUCGGGCCGCCGAAGCGGAAUGUGUGCACCCAACCGCUGCGCCACCAGGCCGGCCCUUACUUAGCCUCUUUGAAACUCAAUCUUCUCAUCUGUAAAUGGGGAUCCUACACCAUUAGGUUGUUGUGAAGAUGAAUGUGAAUAAAAUGUAUAUUGAAGUAGUUUGUAAACUGUAAAGUGCUGAGAAAAAACAAUAAUUCAAAUCCCUCUUAGCAGGUAAACCUUACUUGCACGUAGUAAGUACUCAGAGAUCUGUGUUAGGUUACUUAUUAAUUAAAAAUGUUUGCCACGGGAAUGCUGUUCAAUCCCCCAAACGAAUGGUGGGGGUGGGGGGGGUGUCCUGAGCAGUCCUCCAAGGGUCCCGUGGGUCCAUGGGUGGUCUCUGAGGGGGUCUGACAUUGGGUGCAUACUCCCAAUGCCCAGGCUCAUGCCUUGGAACAUCUUCUUCGAUCCCCAUGCGAUAGAUAUUAACCAAGAUUCUCUCACCUCAUGUGGGGCAAAUGAAGCCACGUCGGGACUAAUAAUCCAAAUGUUAGUUUGUUACCACCAUCUGUCACGUAGAACUUAAUCCCAGCAAAGCGCCUUCCCCCAUACUUUUGGGGAGCCCCUGCGGUGGGUGUCCUACCCCCAGGCGCCAGGCAUGCCCUUCCCUGCCCUGCCGUCUCACCCACGCAAAGCGUCCUCCUCUCCCGUAUGCUCACUGGGGGGGUCCCAGCACAGCGACCCUGUACCGCAGCAUCUUAUAGAGUAUUCAGCAAACACUUCUUUUAGCUCUUAGUGACGGCCCUGCCCAGGAAUCGGACAAGGACUCCACAUGAGGGAGUGCCAAGGAUAGAUUCAGCCACCGUCACCACAGUGUGCCCAAGGCUGCUCCUUUCUCCCACACGGACACUUGGCCACUUGGUGAGCUCACGUGCUUGGCUCCUCGCAGCUCGUCAAGAGAGGCAGGCUCCCCGACCCCUGGGGGUCCCCGCAGCUCCCCAGACACGGCCAAAUCCUAGUGCAGGCUCCAGCUUGCACCCUCCCGCUCUACAGAUGAAGAUACGCAGGCUCAGAGGGUCAAAUAACUUAUCCUACGUCAUGAGACCAGCAGGCGGCAGAGAGGAGAGCCAAACCAGAGCAAAGUCCAAAUCCUGUGUUCUUUCUGAUCCAAAUCCCAGAUCAAAGUGGCAGUGACACGUUGUUCUGACCCUGGCUCCAUUCGGGAGGGCACGCUGUGCUGCUCACUGUUUGCUCUACAAGCUGUUCUCCUCCCCAGGGGCUUCAGGCUCUUUCUGCUUGUUUCUAUUGGGAGUUACGGUUUAGGCAUAAAAAAUUGGGAAUUUCAAGCCAUUUCACCUUCCUUCCCAUCCCCAGCUGCCCUCCCAACAGACCUACAAUUUAUCUAGUGAUAUUUGGCUCAUGGUUAAAAGCACCAUGGUGCUUAUACAGAUGACAGAACAAGCAAGUCUUGGCCACAGCUAAGGGCCACCUUAGCCAGUGUUAGUAGAUCUGAGACAAACACAAAUGCCUUGCCUCGGUUCCCAAAGCCCUAGAACCGGCUGCCCUACCCCUGCCCUCUGCUCCAGCCU